RNAcentral lists this ribosomal RNA (254 nucleotides) under uncultured bacterium. Its description in RNAcentral is "partial 16S ribosomal RNA". It matches the Rfam family "Bacterial small subunit ribosomal RNA", at positions 524 to 777 of the family's 1533-position model. The record is from RNAcentral.
UACGAAGGGUGCAAGCGUUACUCGGAAUUACUGGGCGUAAAGCGUGCGUAGGUGGUUUGUUAAGUCUGUUGUGAAAGCCCCGGGCUCAACCUGGGAAUGGCAUUUGGGACUGCAAGGCUGGAGUGCGGCAGAGGAGACUGGAAUUCCUGGUGUAGCAGUGAAAUGCGUAGAUAUCAGGAGGAAUACCGAUGGCGAAGGCAGGUCUCUGGGCUGACACUGACGCUCAUGCACGAAAGCGUGGGGAGCAAACGAGG